Molecule: ribosomal RNA, 316 nt
Filed under: uncultured bacterium
Lineage: Bacteria
Description: bacterial SSU rRNA
Rfam family: Bacterial small subunit ribosomal RNA
Source: RNAcentral
GAUAAACGCUGGCGGCGCACAUAAGACAUGCAAGUCGAACGAACUUAAUCCAUUCUUUACGAUUGGAAGCGGUUAGUGGCGGACUGGUGAGUAACGCGUGAGCAACCUGCCUAUUAGAGGGGAAUAACAGUGAGAAAUCAUUGCUAAUACCGCAUAAGCUGAUAGUAUCGCAUGAUAUAGUCAGAAAAGGAGCAAUCCGCUAAUAGAUGGGCUCGCGUCUGAUUAGCUAGUUGGUGGGGUAACGGCCUACCAAGGCGACGAUCAGUAGCCGGACUGAGAGGUUGAACGGCCACAUUGGGACUGAGAUACGGCCCAG